GCUGGGUGUGGUGGCGCAUGCCUGUAAUCCCAGCUACUCGGGAGGCUGAGGCAGGAAGAUUGCUUGAGCCCAGAGGUUCAAGGCUACAGUGAGCUAUGAUAGUGCCACUGCACUCCAGUCUGGGUGGCAAAGCAGGACCCUGUCUCAA
Molecule: small RNA, 148 nt
Filed under: Pongo abelii (Sumatran orangutan)
Lineage: Eukaryota; Metazoa; Chordata; Mammalia; Primates; Hominidae
Description: Metazoan signal recognition particle RNA (ENSPPYG00000033568.1)
Source: Rfam by way of RNAcentral